AGGGGAGGACCCAGUGGCUUCCAGUCACGCUGGAGGGCACAGGAGGGGCACUCUGCUGCUGUAGACCAGCCUUCCCUUACCACCCUUCACACCAGGGACACUGGGACUCUUACGGGCAGGGUGUGCUUUAUGCCAAGGGCAAGAGCCAACAGCAAGGACCUGGUGGUGUCCCCUGAGGGGUCCUCAGCCUGGUAGCAAAGGUCAAGAUGCUGUGAUAGGGCCAUGCUGCCUGGGGUGUGGGGCACCUGGCCCCGUGCCCUGCCUGCUCCCCGGGCAUGUCCUGUGGGAAAGCCUCCAUCAGCAAGUGCACUGGGCCUGGAGGAGGACGGCUGAGGUGUCCAGGACUCAGGGCCUGGGAGAAGGAGUGCCCCUGGGUAGACCAAGUUCAUGUGUGUGUGGGGGGGAGGGGGUGCAGUGAGGAAGUGUGUGUGGGACCAGUACAGUCAGG
This 448-nucleotide long non-coding RNA is filed under the name Marmota monax (woodchuck). The record is from RNAcentral. Lineage: Eukaryota; Metazoa; Chordata; Mammalia; Rodentia; Sciuridae.